This 493-nucleotide ribosomal RNA is filed under the name uncultured bacterium. RNAcentral's name for it is "partial 16S ribosomal RNA". It matches the Rfam family "Bacterial small subunit ribosomal RNA", at positions 30 to 523 of the family's 1533-position model. The record is from RNAcentral.
AUUGAACGCUGGCGGCAUGCUUUACACAUGCAAGUCGAACGGUAACAGGUUAAGCUGACGAGUGGCGAACGGGUGAGUAAUGCAUCGGAACGUGCCCGAUCGUGGGGGAUAACACUUCGAAAGAAGUGCUAAUACCGCAUACGAUCUGAGGAUGAAAGCGGGGGACCGUAAGGCCUCGCGCGAUCGGAGCGGCCGAUGUCAGAUUAGGUAGUUGGUGGGGUAAAGGCUCACCAAGCCGACGAUCUGUAGCUGGUCUGAGAGGACGACCAGCCACACUGGGACUGAGACACGGCCCAGACUCCGACGGGAGGCAGCAGUGGGGAAUUUUGGACAAUGGGCGCAAGCCUGAUUCAGCAAUGCCGCGUGCAGGAAGAAGGCCUUCGGGUUGUAAACUGCUUUUGUACGGAGCGAAAAGGCUCCCUCUAAUACAGGGGGCUCAUGACGGUACCGUAAGAAUAAGCACCGGCUAACUACGUGCCAGCAGCCGCGGUAA